GACGAACGCUGGCGGCGUGCUUAACACAUGCAAGUCGAACGGAAAGGCCCUGCUUUUGUGGGGUGCUCGAGUGGCGAACGGGUGAGUAACACGUGAGUAACCUGCCCUUGACUUUGGGAUAACUUCAGGAAACUGGGGCUAAUACCGGAUAGGAGCUCCUGCUGCAUGGUGGGGGUUGGAAAGUUUCGGCGGUUGGGGAUGGACUCGCGGCUUAUCAGCUUGUUGGUGGGGUAGUGGCUUACCAGGGCUUUGACGGGUAGCCGGCCUGAGAGGGUGACCGGCCACAUUGGGACUGAGAUACGGCCCAGACUCCUACGGGAGGCAGCAGUGGGGAAUAUUGCACAAUGGGCGGAAGCCUGAUGCAGCAACGCCGCGUGCGGGAUGACGGCCUUCGGGUUGUAAACCGCUUUCGCCUGUGACGAAGCGUGAGUGACGGUAAUGGGUAAAGAAGCACCGGCUAACUACGUGCCAGCAGCCGCGGUGAUACGUAGGGUGCGAGCGUUGUCCGGAUUUAUUGGGCGUAAAGGGCUCGUAGGUGGUUGAUCGCGUCGGAAGUGUAAUCUUGGGGCUUAACCCUGAGCGUGCUUUCGAUACGGGUUGACUUGAGGAAGGUAGGGGAGAAUGGAAUUCCUGGUGGAGCGGUGGAAUGCGCAGAUAUCAGGAGGAACACCAGUGGCGAAGGCGGUUCUCUGGGCCUUUCCUGACGCUGAGGAGCGAAAGCGUGGGGAGCGAACAGGCUUAGAUACCCUGGUAGUCCACGCUGUAAACGGUGGGUACUAGGUGUGGGGUCCAUUCCACGGGUUCCGUGCCGUAGCUAACGCUUUAAGUACCCCGCCUGGGGAGUACGGCCGCAAGGCUAAAACUCAAAGGAAUUGACGGGGCCCCGCACAAGCGGCGGAGCAUGCGGAUUAAUUCGAUGCAACGCGUAGAACCUUACCCGGGUUUGACAUGGAUCGGGAGUGCUCAGAGAUGGGUGUGCCUCUUUUGGGGUCGGUUCACAGGUGGUGCAUGGCUGUCGUCAGCUCGUGUCGUGAGAUGUUGGGUUAAGUCCCGCAACGAGCGCAACCCUUGUUCACUGUUGCCAGCACGUUAUGGUGGGGACUCAGUGGAGACCGCCGGGGUCAACUCGGAGGAAGGUGGGGAUGACGUCAAGUCAUCAUGCCCCUUAUGUCCAGGGCUUCACGCAUGCUACAAUGGCUGGUACAGAGAGUGGCGAGCCUGUGAGGGUGAGCGAAUCUCGGAAAGCCGGUCUCAGUUCGGAUUGGGGUCUGCAACUCGACCUCAUGAAGUCGGAGUCGCUAGUAAUCGCAGAUCAGCAACGCUGCGGUGAAUACGUUCCCGGG
This 1343-nucleotide ribosomal RNA is filed under the name uncultured bacterium. Its description in RNAcentral is "16S ribosomal RNA". It matches the Rfam family "Bacterial small subunit ribosomal RNA", at positions 28 to 1378 of the family's 1533-position model. The record is from RNAcentral.